UGUUUUUGAAGGCAACAAGGAGAUGAAAAUUUCUCGUAUAAUAUACGAUACAAAUUAUUACAACAUAUUUUUAACACACCGACCCAAUACAAGGACGACCCAAUACAAGGACGACCCAAUUAAAUAAUUUGGUUAACAAUGGGGUAAAAUAUGGACUAUGGCCAGUAGUCGAAAUCCAGAAGAAGUCUUUGGAGUAACAUCAGGAAGAACCAACCAUACAAGACUGACAAGACUGCUGAUAUGUGGAGGAACUGCGAUUUUAAGAGAGUUAUUCGAUUUUAUCCAUCCACCAGCAAAUCUUUCAACUGUCUUGACAAGUAAACGUUCAACGCUAAAACAAAUGAAAAGGAGGGGGUUUUUAACCGUUCCUCAAUGGAAAAUUUUAUUUCCGUCGCCUGGUACUUGUGGUCAGUCGAAAAAUUUUGAUAUUACUUUGCUUUGUAAACUUUUUAGAAAUAUCUGCAGCCUAAUAGCGCCGGUUACUGGUUGGGACAGUCUGCCAAACAGCACGGAUCUUUCUUUAACAGCUGAUUUAGCUAGAAUUAAAAAUUUUCGAAACGAAAUUCAUGGACAUGUGAAUGAAGACAUGGAACUGAGAGACGAGGAAUUUCUUGGCCUCUGGAAUGAGAUAAAAGACGCUUUAGUAAGGAUUGUUAAGUACUAUACUACAAGUGGCUCAACUUCAAUCACAGAUUGGGAGAAUGCUAUUGAAAAACUGCUAAAUGCGCCUCUAACUGACGAAGAUGAAAUGCACCUUGAAGAAUUAGAGCACUGGUAUCUGGAGGAUAUGGAGGUUAGGAGAGCAGUAGAUCAAAUUGGAAGAACAGCAGAAGAAACCAGAAGAGCAGUAGAACAAAUGACAACUAUGAUGGGAACAGACAGAGCCAGAGAGGGUUUGCAGCAACCAGUUGUACAAGCACAACAGCAAGAACAGAUACCACAUGUACAACCAGAGGUGGUUAUCCAGUGCCUGUUUAAAUUUGCUUCUGGAGCACUGUGGCUUGCAGGAAGUACAGUUAUCAUGAACCAAUAUAGGGAUGAUUUAGAGGCCUUGAAAACAGUCCUCCAGGAUGUGGUGUUUCCUACUGGAGUCUUAGUCUAUAAAAUCAUAUUUGGCUCAAUCAAACUGGUUACAAAAGUAACAUCAUUGGAUGCCCUUACAGAAUUGUGGGAGAGAUACAAAGAGGGUCAAUUGAAAACUGAUUUGGAGAAAGUGUUAUUGACAAAACAGCUAAUAGCCAUGGCACAAAGUGAUGUAGAAAUAACUGUCCAUAUUAAUGAAAUAGAAUACUUGAGAGCUCAACAUGAACUGCAAACAAAAGGUGUUUCAAGUGGCAGUCGUCACCUUGAAAGGAAUAAAACGGAUUCAGCAUGGGAAAGACUACCAAAACUGACAACGACGAAUACCCAGAAACCCCUUCAAAGCAGUAAUCAGGCAUCCCCUUCUUCAACUAAGUCUUGCAUUAGACAUUCAGUGUUACGUACCGUCAGCCAUGAAGAUUCCACAGCUACACAACAUGACGCAUCACAGUCUCUAAUCGCAAAACCUAGUAAUGUUGAACAAGAUAGUGCAAAGGCCACAGGAAGUGAGACUGAGGAGAUAGGAACCGAGACGGAACUUCCUCCAUCAUACGAAGGCGCAUUUCAGACUGUUAGUAAACAAAAAACCUUUUGUUUGCCAGAAGGAGUGGAAGUCAUCUGUGAGCAUUUCGAGAGAGAAGUCUUUGCACACCCCCAAAACAGUUCCAAAAUUCCUAAGGUUUGUCUGAAUUGCCAAAGAUGCCCUACAAGAUGCAAGUACGCAUAUUGGAGCAAAGAGCAAAAGAAGUGGAUAUCUGUGCGGCGUGUUCCGUCAAUCAUGCGCCCAACUGGAAAGCAGAUCCUUUGUUGUCGUCAUGUUCAAAGUGGAAAGACGUGCUUCCCAUCCUGCACUUUUGCGCAUGGACCGGAGCUACAGAUGUGGGAUCUAGAACGCAAAGGAGUUCUGCCAUCACCAGAGACACAUCUGAAGAAUAAAAAAAUCUCUCUAUAUAAUGUAGUAACACCAGAUUCAUCUAAAAGAGAUACUGCGCCUGAAUACAUUAUAGAGAGACCAAAAGGAUGCCCAACAGAGAAAAUUUCAGGAAACAAUAGAACACCGAUUCAAACAACGAGGGUCCAAUCUUUAAGUGCUAGCAAUAUAUGCCGUCUACCAACGGGUGUAAAGAUUGUUUGUGAUGAUUUCAUAAAAAACUUCAAAUCUUAUGGUGGACGGGCUGUCGAGCGAACAACAAAUGUCUGUGAUAGUUGUAAGAAGAAAUGUCAGGAAAGGCAUCCUUUGGUGCGCUCGUUAAUACGAUAUGCCUUUUGGAGCGAAGGGUUUAANCAAUGGUUUGUGAUCAGAACCUAUCCAAGGGGAGNGCUCCGUNUUGCCUUCCGACAAUGCAAAGAUUUAAAAAAUAACAGGCUCUGUACUAGAAGCGAAUGUACUUUUGCUCAUGGACCCGAGGUAUCUAUGUGGACUAUGGAACGAGAAGGAACGCUUGUUCCAGCAUGGGAGGCUUUGUUUCGUACUAUCGUAUAUGUAUCAAGUAAUGAACUAAUGGCUGUUGUACGGCCACUCCCCCAUGGAGCUUUAAAAGACGAUUUGAGGCUAUGCAUGAGCGUGCAGUCAAGAAUAAUUUGCAGAUUUGGACGAGGCUGUCGUUUUGCACAUAGUGAAACUGAACUGGACUCCUGGAAGAAACUCUUCGAAGAAAGACUAAAAGAACGGAGAGAAAUAAGAAUACCAUACAGCGAGCACUUCUUAAAGCAUCAUGAGCUUCAGUGUAAAGACUCCAUUCCAGGGGUUAAGCUCACAUGUAACCCCGUAGUCCCUAAUGUACAGCUUGCCGAGGACUGCGAAGACCAUUCCUACACAUGGGAAUUUUGUGCUCGUUUUGAGGUAACGUUGGGCCUUCCAACCGUUGAACUAUUGAAUUUUCGUUCAAACUUCCAUUUUACAAAGAUCAAAGUUGUGGGAUUUGAUAGGGAUAACAAAGCUACUACUAUUUUGUCUAAAGAGCUCAAAGCGUCGGUGUAUAUUCCAAGGGAGGCAGUGGUGUUGGAUUCGCAAAUGCAGAAAAUCGAAUUUCGUGUGAGCGUUGCCUUCCAAGCAUCAUUGUUUGGCAGCUUUUCUCAGCAUCUUCUGUUUAAUUUUGGUCAGCUACCUUGUCUUAAGAAAGAUUUUAACAUCGAUAUUGGCAGCAAGGAAACACUGGAGAAAUUGGCAGCUAGGAGGAAGACCGUCAUACUUGAUGCCCUACCUUGGGAAGAUCAAAAUAUGACACUCGUAAGAUUCGAACCCGAUCCAGAAAAAGAAAAGUUGAUGUCCGCCUAUUCUUUGCCUAAGGAUGCAGAGAGAAUUGUGUCAGCUCAGUUGGUUAAAGGGGAAGUCAGACAAGACACUUAUAAACAGACAAUGCACCAGCUCCUUUUUUCGGAAGAGGUUUAUAUGAGGAAACUUUUGUUAAGUCUUGCGCCAACGACUGCCGUAAAGCUUGAAAUCGUGACAACUAAACCAGACCUCAGGUUCGGUGGUAUAAAGUUUGCGGGGAAAGGUCAACUGUUUGGAAAAAUAAAACUUGAAAACAUCGAAAUUACUCUCGAUGACAUGGCGGGAAGAGUAUGUCUGCGAAAUGUUCAGCACAUUUGGAUCCAGUCACGUGAUAAACCCAAAUACCUUUACGAGUUGCCGAGCGAAAUUCACGAGGGCAACACCAUUUAUGUGGAUUUGCCACCAAAGGUGUGCGAGGAUCUGAAGCUAAUCAAAGACAAAGUCGUUGAUGUUGAGAUGAGGUUCAAUCUAAACCGCUAUAUUCUUUGCAUGAUGCAUAAAGCCAUAGACAGCCUUGGGAUUACGCAAGCACGCCAGCUUUUUCCCGUAGAACGAAGAGUCAUCAGAAGACGAGAGGUGACCGAUUUUUUGGGGUGGUUCCUGGAUCAACGCCUUAACGAAUGCCAGAAACGCGUUAUUCACGCUAUCGCAGACGUUGUCCCCCCUUCUCCUCCACUUGUGGUGUUUGGACCCUUUGGGACAGGAAAAACCUUCACUUUGAACCAAGCUGCGAUAUAUUUGAUGAAAGAGAAGACAAAUCGCGUUCUUGUAUGCACACAUACAAAUUCAGCGGCUGACAUUCACGUGGAACGACUCGAUGAAUAUCUCCAAGGAAAUGGGAAGCUUUCGCGUGCAGCAAAACCUCUGCGCAUUUACAGCCCUGAAACAGAAUGGAGUAAGACUUCUGACGUUGGUCGGAAGUAUGCACUAGUGAAAGAUGGAGUUUUCGUAAUGCCAACUAGAAAGAAUGUCGUCGAUCAUCGUGUUGUCAUAACAACGCUUACAACUGCUGACCUGUUGACUAAGCUUAAUGUUCACCAUGGAUUUUUUACACAUAUCCUGAUAGACGAGGCUGCACAGGCUUGGGAAACAGAAGCACUGAUACCACUAGCCCUCGCUGGCCCCAACACGAAGAUUGUCUUCACUGGAGACCACAUGCAGACGUCUCCUGAGGUAUAUUCAGAAUUCGCUCGUCAGUGCGGACUCCAGAAAUCACUUCCCGAACGCCUUUUUGACCAUUACCAGGCAAAAGAUAGCAAAGACGAUCAAGUGCUGUUUUUGUUCGAAAAUUACCGCUCUCACGAGGAAAUACUUAACUUUCCUUCGGUGAACUGCUACGAAAAAGGCAUCGUCGCAAGAGGUAACAUUCCUGGCCAUCCUAAGAUACCGCCUUUGGUUUUCUACGCAGCCAAAGGCAAAGACGAAAAGCAAAGCAACAACUCGUUCUUAAACGAGUCUGAAAUUUACGAGGUAGAGAAGCGAGUAGUUGAACUGGUAAAAAACUGGCCACUGUGUUGGGGCCAGAAGAACCUACGAGACAUUGCAGUAGUUGCUCCCUACAAAUAUCAGGUGGACGCAAUUCGAGGCGAAUUGAGGAAAAAACGAAUGAGUGAAGUCAAUGUUCAAACGAUCCACAAUAUACAAGGAAGGGAAUUCAGAGCUGUGUUUAUCAGUACUGUGCGAACUUGGAACUCCAUCCAAGACUUGAGCCAGUCUGACAAAUUGUCCUGUGACGAUCUAUCUCUGGAAUUUCUUUCUGACCCGAAGCUGCUCAUAACUGCUGUUACACGAGCAAAGUCAUUGGUGGCUGUUGUUGGUGACCCUUUUGCCCUAUGCACCCUAGGAAGGUGUAAAAUUCUUUGGGACGAUUACAUCACAAGAUGCUACAAUCUUAACGGGUUAUUCGGAAUAACAUGGGAAGCCUUAAGUGAAGACAUAGGUGCCCAUUUCUCUCAAAUUCAACUGGAUCCAGAAGCUCCAACGUUUGUUCCUAAAUCAGAAAUUCCUAGGAAUGAUGAUGGAGAUGAGGCAAAUAUGGAAUUUCCAAACAAAACCGCCUCAAACCUGAGUGAAUUAGAACCAGAAACGGAGGAAGAUCAGGCAUCCUCUUGCUCGGGAGACAUUAAAUAUAAUGCUGAAGACGAUGAUUGUUUUGCUGAUGUGGAAGACGAUUUAGAAGACGAGGCCGUGCUACCAGCUAAUAUUGAUGGAAUAAUCAAAGAGCUAUGUAAAUUCGUUAAAAAACGCCAGCAGCAAACCGCUGUUAUGGAUGAGGAAUUUCCCGCCUUGACCAAGUACUCUUCAAAAGUUAAAGAAACUCAAAUUAUUUGGCCCUCGAAAAGGCCCACUCAGGACUUUAAUCGUAAAACACUGAAAAGCGAAUAUCUAAUUCGCAACAAGAAUGGGCGCACCGAAAUCCAGCUGUUGGAUAUAUACAAAAGCCCUUCAGAUCGAGUACAGCAGAUCGCCAUGAAUAACUACAAAUAUCAAAACCUUGAGCCCGAGGUACUAAUAAAUAUGCUUGAAAAAGAACCUUUGAAAUUCUACUCUGGUCAGCUUCAGAUACGAAAUGAGAAAUCAAGGAUAGCCUAUCUCGUUAUUCCAGACAAAGACAAACCUGACAUACAAGUUAAGGGAUCAAUCAGACAUGCAUUUGAUCACGAUACUAUUGUAGUCGAAGUACAGCCAAGUCAGAACGAAACAGAAAGUAUAAGCUGUGGUUUCCUCAAAGGUGUGCUGAAUCACAUGAUUAGUCCUCGCGAACGGCAGUAUGUUUGCAAGGUCACUCUGAACAAUCCUGCAGUCAUGAUUCCCAUUAACAGAUCGGCUACAAAAAUAGUAAACCUUAGUGAUAAGAGCCUCAGAGAUAUCAUACCGGUUUACAAGAAGCGCAAGACGCAAGACGAAAGAAUCGGCGAACCAAUGAAGAUGAUAGCCAUAGAAGAGGUUAUAGAGAAGAAGCUUUUGUUUGUUGUCGAGUUUCUUCAGUGGAGAAGCGACUGCACCCUUCCUCUGGGAAUUGCCGUAAGAACUAUACCGACAGGGGAAACAGUAGAGCAAUGCAAAGAAAUCCUCUUUGCUGAAUGCGGCAUUCGCAAAGCCUUCAGUAGGAACACUAAAGAGAUGAUACGCAAGCGUUUUCCAACAACAUGGAAAAUUCCAGACAGUGAAAUGAAGAACCGGAAGAAGAUUGAUAAGGCUUUUACUAUUGAUCCACCAGAAGCUAAAGAUCUGGAUGAUGCCAUCUCAAUAGAUGAAAUUGGAGAUGGAAAGUUCAAGGUUGGGAUUCACAUCGCCGAUGUAAGCUUUUUUGUAGAGCGUGGUACUGAUCUGGAUCGAGAAGCACGGCAAAGAGGAGUGUCAUAUUAUCCUGGUCAAAAUGGGGAAGAAAAUAUGCCCAUGCUUCCACGUGAACUAAGUGAGAAUAUCCUUAGUCUCCUGCCAAACGAGGACCGCUUGACUGUUUCAGUUUUCGUUACUCUUAACAGUGAAGGCGAGGUCGUCGGCCAAAAAGAGAUUCUGAGAACUGUGACGCAUUCUCGCUGUAGGCUUAGCUACUCUCAAGCACAGCAGAUAUUAGACAUGGAGAAGCAUGAUAAUGUAGAGGGCGUGCCUGCUCAAGUGCCUCUAGCAAUUAAGAGGCUUCAUUCACUUGUCGUAAAAAGGCGCUGGCAGCGUCUUAAGGAAGCAUCUUUUGAGGAUUCGAAUAACGGAGAAGAUUCAGAUGCACACGAGCUAAUAGAAGAGCUCAUGAUUCUUGCCAAUCAUACAGUUGGGGACUUCCUGCAUAGUAGAAAUCCAAGGGGCACUCCAUUUCGUACACAACUAGAACCAAAGGUCCAUCGCCUCAAUGAAUGGGCGGAAAAGUAUGGCUCAAUUGCCAAGUACUCUCCGGUUCUGCAACCAAAACUUCAGAGUGAGGACAUCAAAAACGAAGUCAAAGAAAGAAUAUAUACAGAAGAAAAAGAAAUCGACAUUCAUGAACACGCCUGGGACGAAAUAUGUAGAGCUGCAGAAUCUGGGGAUCUGAGAAAAGUGAAGCGUUUGAUUUGUGACCCGUCGUCUUCACCACAACUUGCGAUAGCACGUCUGCAUCUCAUGCGAAUUCAGACGAAAUCUCAAUACACGUGCUCUGGAAGUGACUCUCAACACUAUUCCCUAGGACUGAGUAACUACGUUCACUUCACCUCACCCAUCAGGCGCUACGUAGAUAUUGAAGUCCACCGCCUUCUUUUGGCACUGAUGCCAAGUAAUAGUGUGGAACAAGCCACUUUGAAUGAAGAUGAGAUGGCAACGCUCUGUCGCAGGUCCACAUACUUCAAAACCAACUCAGACAAAUUUGAGAAGGAAUUCAAACGCAUUCAUUUUGCUUCAACGUUGAAACAGAAAAACAAGUCUGGGAUGUUUUUCAUAGACCAGUUGGAGGGCCGUUUCUUCACGAUACAUCCAGUGAGUCCAGAUCACGAUUAUUUCUUGGGGAAGCACAAGAAGGUUAAUUUUGAUGUCCUGUUGCCUUCCUCCAAGUCAGACAGCAUUGAUGGCAAGCCGGAAACCAGUCUCAGAUGGAGGUCGAGAAUAUACCUUGCACAUUCAUCGGGAACCGAAGCUGAUGAUUUGUCUCUCUCCCGUCGGGAUGCGGCCAAAAUCAAGAAUUUGUUAGAUAGCGGUAGAAACCGUGUUGCCGUUCAGAGGAUAAAGGGAAAUACCUGGAAGUGCAUUAUAGAUGCUGUCAAGGAUGGUAAACCAGCAGAUGAACUACUACGACAGGUAAAGCAAACUGACGAGAACUUGAAAAAAAGUGCUACUCAAAAGAGGUCUUUUACAGCCGGAAGCUCCAGUAGAGAUGUCUACAAGCAUCCUAACUUUGGCCGAAUGGAUGUUGGUACGAACAGCAACAGUGAUUGUCAUUUUCAUGAGAUAACUAUGAAUCUCAAGCGGUGUGACAUGGUUCGUUUUCAAAUGUUUUCACGUCUGCACAGUAAGAUGCUCUGUCCAGACGUUCAGCUUUUGAGUGUUUCAUCAGGUUUUUGUAUUUGCCUGGAGCAUCAAAGAUACCCUCGAAGGUGCUUUGCAUUUGAUACAAAACGGUGUGCCUCAAAAGCAGAAUAUUGCAGUGUUGAUGAGUACGUUGACUUUUGGAAACCCGUACUUGCCAUGGAAGCAGCAAAUGCAGCGGUUGUUCAGAAUGAUGGAUUUAUUCUGAAAUCUUUGCCAGUGAAGUGGAAACAAAAGGAUGGAGAUAUCAAGGGUAAAUUUACUCUGACGUCAUCUUAUUGCAAAUCUCGGCAACUGGAGUUCCACUAUGGUGACCUCGCGUGCAUUAGAAUUCCAUUCUCGGACGACUUAUUACCAGAAGAUGCUGAGGCAACAACUGACGAUCAAGAAAUAAGCAUUUGGAUAGGGCAUUGUAUUGUUGAAGAUAUAAAACCAAAGAAGAACCAAGAUGCAACAUCAGUGACUGUCAGACUUCAUCAAAUGGCAUGUGAAUUUCCUCGUCACCUUUUGACCAAAGGCCAACGGGAGUGUGACAUGGAGUAUAUUUACCAGCCUCUGCCGUUAAGGCGGAUGAUUACAGCGUUGGAAUGCAAGUUGAAAGACUCGUCAGAACUUGUCAAAACAAUCUGCCUUGGACAAAGUCCUUCACAAGAACGACUGGAUUUAAACCAUUGAAUGAUUAUCAAAAAAAUGCUGUACGUCAGGCUUUGUCAAGGCCUUUCUCGCUCAUUCAAGGUCCACCAGGGACCGGCAAAACANUAACUGGAGUGCAUGUUGCAUAUUGGUUCGCAAAGCAAAAUGAAAAGCAGAAGCCAGCAGAGAAACAAAACAAGAAGUCAAAAAAGAAGGCAGCCAAAAUUAAGACAGAUCAUGAUAAGGAG
RNAcentral lists this unclassified non-coding RNA (9231 nucleotides) under Actinia tenebrosa (Australian red waratah sea anemone). RNAcentral's name for it is "helicase with zinc finger domain 2-like, transcript variant X1". The record is from RNAcentral. Lineage: Eukaryota; Metazoa; Cnidaria; Anthozoa; Actiniaria; Actiniidae.